This is a long non-coding RNA of Styela clava, 467 nucleotides long. RefSeq lists it as uncharacterized. Lineage: Eukaryota; Metazoa; Chordata; Ascidiacea; Stolidobranchia; Styelidae. The record is from RefSeq and is a predicted model, not a curated record.
UCCAUAUAUUUGAGCAUCGCGCUCUUGUUUCUAUAUAAAUUUGAUAUCAACUGGGCGAGAUGUUAUGCAUAUAGUUCAAAACCAUGAUUCCUUAAUAAACGACCGUCCUGUUUUUUAUUCCUAAAUUUAUAUUAUGUAUCAACUCACCUCUUUCACCUAAUUUUAAGAUAAACUAUCUUAUCAGUUCUCAGUCACAAUGAAGAUAUUUCUUGCAUCGAUUCUGCUGUUGGUUGCUGUAUUGUGUAUGUUACUUGGUGGCACAUACGGAAGGAUCAUCCUAACAAUAGAAUGUCAAGAAGUCUGUGAACCCGACCAAUAUUGCGAUGCAUUAACGGGGCUAUGCGUUUAAGGGUGAUUGGGGAUGAAUUAACAGGAAGAAAAAUGAAUUCGACAAUAAAUUGCUAAAUACAAAUUAAUAAAAUAUUCUGCAGCAAUAACAUUCAUUCAUUUUGUAAGUUUUGUAUUUG